RNAcentral lists this Y RNA (100 nucleotides) under Microcebus murinus (gray mouse lemur). Its description in RNAcentral is "Y RNA (ENSMICG00000022685.3)". It matches the Rfam family "Y RNA". Rfam says of the family: Y RNAs are components of the Ro ribonucleoprotein particle (Ro RNP), in association with Ro60 and La proteins. The Y RNAs and Ro60 and La proteins are well conserved, but the function of the Ro RNP is not known. Lineage: Eukaryota; Metazoa; Chordata; Mammalia; Primates; Cheirogaleidae. The record is from Rfam by way of RNAcentral.
GGCUGGUCCAAUGGUAGUGGGCUAUCAGAAUUUAUUAUUAAUUAUUAGUGUCACUAAAGUGGGUAUAUAACCCCCUACUACUAAAUUUGACUAACUUGAA